UACGAAGGGGGCUAGCGUUGUUCGGAAUUACUGGGCGUAAAGGGCGCGUAGGCGGUUGCUCAAGUCAGGCGUGAAAGCCCCGGGCUCAACCUGGGAAUAGCGCUUGAGACUGGGCGGCUUGAGUUCGGGAGAGGUGAGUGGAAUUCCCGGUGUAGAGGUGAAAUUCGUAGAUAUUGGGAAGAACACCAGUGGCGAAGGCGGCUCACUGGACCGACACUGACGCUGAGGCGCGAAAGCGUGGGGAGCAAACAGG
RNAcentral lists this ribosomal RNA (253 nucleotides) under uncultured prokaryote. RNAcentral describes it as "partial 16S ribosomal RNA". It matches the Rfam family "Bacterial small subunit ribosomal RNA", at positions 524 to 776 of the family's 1533-position model. The record is from RNAcentral.